RNAcentral lists this non-coding RNA (27 nucleotides) under Homo sapiens (human). The record is from RNAcentral. Lineage: Eukaryota; Metazoa; Chordata; Mammalia; Primates; Hominidae.
UGAAUGAAAAUUCUGGGUGUAAAGAGU